GUGGGGAAUCUUCCGCAAUGGACGAAAGUCUGACGGAGCAACGCCGCGUGAGUGAAGAAGGUUUUCGGAUCGUAAAGCUCUGUUGUUUGAGACGAACGUGCAAUUUUUGAAUAAGGAAUUGUAAUGACGGUAUUAAACGAGAAAGCCACGGCUAACUACGUGCCAGCAGCCGCGGUAAUACGUAGGUGGCAAGCGUUGUCCGGAAUUAUUGGGCGUAAAGGGAGCGCAGGUGGGAAAGUCAGUCGAUUUUAAAAGUGCGGGGCUCAACCCCGUGAGGGAAUCGAAACUACUUUUCUUGAGUGCAGGAGAGGAAAGCGGAAUUCCUAGUGUAGCGGUGAAAUGCGUAGAUAUUAGGAGGAACACCAGUGGCGAAGGCGGCUUUCUGGACUGUAACUGACACUGAGGCUCGAAAGCCAGGGGAGCGAACGGGAUUAGAUACCCCGGUAGUCC
RNAcentral lists this ribosomal RNA (450 nucleotides) under uncultured bacterium. RNAcentral's name for it is "partial 16S ribosomal RNA". It matches the Rfam family "Bacterial small subunit ribosomal RNA", at positions 354 to 796 of the family's 1533-position model. The record is from RNAcentral.